CCUACGGGUGGCAGCAGUGGGGAAUAUUGCACAAUGGAGGGAACUCUGAUGCAGCGACGCCGCGUGAGUGAAGAAGUAAUUCGUUAUGUAAAGCUCUAUCAGCAGGGAAGAAAGUGACGGUACCUGAAAAAGAAGCUCCGGCUAAAUACGUGCCAGCAGCCGCGGUACUACGUAGGGAGCAAGCGUGAUCCGGAGUUACUGGGUGUGAAGGGCGAGUAGGUGGUGGAGCAAGUCAGAGGUGAAAACCCGGGGCUCAACGAUGGAAAUGAAGUUGAAACUGGAGGACUAGAGAGCAGGAGAGGGAGGUGGAAUGCAUGGUGUAGGGGUGAAAUGCUUAGAGAGCAGAAAGAACACCGAUUGCGAAGGCAGCUUACCAAACUAUAUCUGACGCUGAGGCACGAAAGCGUGGGGAGCAAACAGGAUUAGAUACCCGAGUAGUC
Molecule: ribosomal RNA, 440 nt
Filed under: uncultured bacterium
Lineage: Bacteria
Description: partial 16S ribosomal RNA
Rfam family: Bacterial small subunit ribosomal RNA
Source: RNAcentral